UGUAAGCGUAUACCAAAGUUGUUGCAGUUAAAACGCUCGUAGUCGGAAUUUGGCAGUUCCGGAUGUGUGCACGACGUGUGCGCACUUCGCGGGGAUUGCUUUUGUGGUCUUGCGUAGGAUGAGGCACCUUUAUUAGUGAACGUCCUCACGCAACCACUUUUUACUGUGAGAAAAUCAGAGUGCUCAAAGCAGGCAUUUGCCGUGAAUGUAUUAGCAUGGAAUAAUAGAAUAGGACUUGGUUCUAUUUUGUUGGUUUGUUGGGACUGAGUAAUGAUUAAGAGGGACAGUUGGGGGCAUUUGUAUUUCGGUGCUAGAGGUGAAAUUCUUAGAUUACCGAAAGACAAACUGCUGCGAAAGCGUCUGCCAAGGAUGUUUUCAUUGA
Molecule: ribosomal RNA, 382 nt
Filed under: uncultured eukaryote
Lineage: Eukaryota
Description: partial 18S ribosomal RNA
Rfam family: Eukaryotic small subunit ribosomal RNA
Source: RNAcentral